Peromyscus californicus insignis is the source of this 4312-nucleotide long non-coding RNA. RefSeq lists it as uncharacterized. The record is from RefSeq and is a predicted model, not a curated record. The transcript is spliced from 3 exons. Lineage: Eukaryota; Metazoa; Chordata; Mammalia; Rodentia; Cricetidae.
UCCGUGUGGUGUCAUCUGGCUUACUCAGCAGCUUCGUCCAACUGGGACGUCUAGAGUGGCAGAUAUCUUGGCCUUUUGUUUUCUGUUGGACGAGACACAGUGCUUGUCCACAUGACCUUUCUUUCUCUCCACAUGUUCUUUUAUCCAUUGUUAAUCUAGCUGGGGCUUUUUUGUAGGGUGACUUGCCUUUAAAAGAAUGAGAACAAAGCUACCAGGCUUCUUAAGGGCUUGACCCGGUUCUGGCACACACACUCUUCUGCCGCUAAGUCACGUGCAGCAAGCACUUCGAAGCUGCUUUUGCUAAAGAAUAUUGACUCAAGGAUAAAGGCACAGCGACAGGUCAUUGUCCUACACCUGCAGUCACCUUGGGUUCCAGGAAGAAGAAAGCAAGCCUUUGAAGACGGACCCCCUCCACCAGUCCAAUGCUGCAUGCUGGUGCAGAGGUCAUCUGCGCAUAGAAACCCAGGAUUCACAGAUCUCUGCUUAAAGCAAAGCUUCUGUCCAUACCCUGAAGAUGAACUUGGAGCUAUGGACUCACUCUAUAUGUGUUCCUUUCCCUGAGAGUGAUGAAAUCUCCUUCCCUGCCUUACACCAUUAUUUACUGCCUUAAUUGUUACACUGGGAUGAGUGGGCGCGCCUGACUUGUUAGAGCUGCUGGAUGAGGUUUCUGCUCUAAAACUCCACUUACAACUUGGCCUCUGUGGCCUGUCCCCUUUUUGUGGACUAGUUUAUCACCAGGCCAAGGAACCUAGAGAGCCAGAUUAGCAGAUAUCCCAGUUCCCUCAAGACUGAGGACUGUUCAAACACAAGGGGAAUUGUAACAGAAGCUACUUUUGUUACAAACUAUUGACUCUUCACUUGGGCCACAAAGCCGAUGGCACAAAGGUAAGUCCUUGUCUUAAACCUGCAGUCUCUUUGGAUUCCAGAAGUAAACCAUCAGCCGACCCCAGCCCCCAGCCCUUGUCCCCCAGCCCCGCCACCCUCCCCCCAACACACACAGAUGAGGGCGAUUACUUAUAAGGGUAGGCUGCACUCUGGAGCAGAAAUAAUCAUCUUGUGGGAAACAGGAAAACAGUGAUGCAGAUUAACAGUUUUAUCAGCCACCCUCCUGGAUUGGAGCUGAGGUGAUACAGAUGGGGCCACACCUUCAAGACUGCUUCCUUAUCACACUUUUUGCUCAUAGCCCGACAGUUCUUCCUCUGUUUGAACCUAAAGUCUGUUCCUUCUUCCCGAUGCAUCCCUGAAAUCUCUCUUCUCUGCUUUCCCCGUUGUUCUUUGUCUCUUUGGUUGGCAUGUUGGAACCACCUGGGGAGCGGAGAGUGCCGAUCAUAAAGGCGAGUGGAUUUACUUUGAUUUUGACACAGUGUCUCAAUCUGUAUCUCCGGCUGGCCGAGAACUUGCGAUACAGAUCAGGCUGGCCUCAGGUCACAGAGAUUCUCCUGCCUCUGCUUUCAGAGUGCUGGGAUUAAAGGUAUACACCACUAUGUUCCAAAGUAGUGUGGAUUCAAAGAGAGCAGAAUAGAUUCUACCUUUCUAUUUAGCUUGUUUUCUUUUUCUAUUUAGUUUUAUUUUUUCUAAUUGAUUAUUAUUGUGUGUGGACGUGGUGUAUGUGUGUGGGCACAUGUGGUCAGAGGACAACUGUAUGAAGCUGCUCCUCUUCUUCCACCUUUACAUGGGUUCUGAGGAUUGAACUCAGGUCAUCAGGCAGUGUACAUGCUUGGUCCUCAAGGGGGUCAGAAGAGGGUAUCAGACCCCCUAGAACAGAAGUUACAGAUUGAACCAUCAUGUGGGUGAUGAGAAUCAAACCUGCUUCCUCUACAAGAGCAGCAAGUACUCUUAACCGAUGAGCCAUCUCUCCAGCCCUUGUUUGUUGGUUUUUGAGACCGUCUCACUAUGUAAAUCAACCUGUCCUUGGUUCAUAGAGAGCCACCUCUGCCUCCCGAGUGCUGGCAUUAAAGGCUUUUUUAAAAGUGUGUAUUUUUAUGACUAUUAUUAUUAGUUUAUGGUUUAGAUGAUCUCAGUUUUGUUGGCAACAUGCAUCCCAGUCAGGAGCCAGCCGAACAUGUGCAUGCUCUCAGGCCUGAGCAGGGUGUUGGCUCAGGCUACACGAGUGUCGUAGAUUUUCUGUACAGCUCCUUUGCUCUGGUGCCUGUUGGCCGUGCAUCCACAGAGAACACAAGUCUGCUGCCUUCUCUCUUCUUUAUGGCUGAGUGGUCAGGGGAACUUAUGAUGACGUAGUGGUCAAGCUUGUCUUUCUGGGGAUGCUCUUGUGAGGGCACUUGGGCUGUCUCUCAAGCCACGGAAGGUGAGCCUCCAGAAGGUAAGGAUCUUUGUGACUGUGGUGCCUUUCUGCACUGUCUCUUGCUUUCACUGUCUUCAUUUUGGCUUUGGCUAGGAGCAGUUGGGCAAAGUCUCCUUCUUUUAGCACCCUCUUGGUGGAAAAAAGUCUUUUGUCAGUGUUCUAGUGCUGUGAAGAGACACCAUGACCACUGCAACUCUUAUAAAGGAAAGCAUUUCAUCGGGGCUGGUUUACAGUUUCAGAGGUUCAGUUUAUUAUCAGCAUUAUGGAAAGAAUGGCAGCACGCACAGAGAAGAUGAGAGUUCUACAUCAGACCCACAGGCAACAGGAAGAGGGAGGCACUGGGUCUGGCUUGGGCUUCUGAAACCCCAAAGCCCACCCCCAGUGACACACUUCCUCCAACUGGGCCACACCUAGUCCAACAAGGCCACACCUCCUAAUCCUUCUUAAGUAGUGCCAUUCCGUAAUGACCAAGCAUUCUCAAAUAUAUGAGCCUACAGGGAUCAUUCCUAUUCAAAAAUCAACUUUGUUUUUUUGAGACAAGGAAAAGAAAAGAAACCAAUAAAACCUCUUAUUUGGGAAGAGGGAACUGGAGAGAUAGCCCACUGAUUAAUAACUCUUGCUGUUCUUGGAGAGGACUUGUGUUUGAUUCCCAGCUCCCCCAGGCAGCUCACAAUCAUCUGUAACUCUGGCUGCAAAGGAUAUGACACUAUGACAACCUCUUCUGGCCUCCAUGACUGCACUCAUUUGCACACACACAUACACACUAAUGUUUUGUUCUAAAAAAAAAAACAACAGCUAGGUGGUAGUGGCAGCUAAUGCCUCUAAUCCCAGCACUUGGGAAGCAGAGACAGGGAGAUCUCCGUGAGUUCAAGACUAGUCUGGUCUACAAAGAGAGUUCCAGGACAGCCAGGGCUACACAGAGAAACCCCAUCUCAAAAAAAAAAAACCACCUCUUAUUCAGUUUGACCUGUUAAGUUUGUACUGUUUCCCUGUACCAUGGACUGAGGGCCCAAGACCAUUUGGAGACAUUCCAAAUCAAAACAGCAGCAUCCAAACGGAGCAGUAGUGGCGCACGUCUUUAAUCCCAGCACUCAGGAGACAGAGGCAGGCGAAUCUCUGAGUUCGAGGCCAGCCUGGGCUACAGAGAGAGUUCCCAGGACAGCCAGGGCUGUUACACAGGGAAACCCUGUCUCAGGAAGAAAAAAAAAAAAAAGCUACACUCUCCCCCAGCACUCCUUCACCCCUGGAACCACAGUGAGGAUGUGGGAGUGGCCAGCAAGGCAAGUUGCAGACUGAAGUUUCUCACACUACGGUUGUCCCUCUCCCUUUUGUUCAUUGCUCUUUAGUGUGUGUACAUGUAUGUGUGUUGCCUAUGUGUGUGUGUGUGUGUGUGUGUGUGUAAGACAGGUCUCAUGGGGCCAGAGAGAAAUUACUGUUCUACAGAGGACCUGGGUUUGGUUUCCAGAACCCACACGGUGGCUCACAGCCACCUAUAACUGCAGUCCUAGGGGAUCUGAGCUCUGCAGGCUUCUGUAUGACAUCACACACACACACACACACACACACACACACACACACACACACACACACACACACACACAUAAAUAAAAGACAGCAUCUCAUCUGUAGCCCAGACUGGCCUGGAGCUCACAGCAAUCCACCUGUCUCUGAGUCCAGAGUGCUGGGACUAAAGGCGUGCAACCACCAUGUGUAGCACUUCUUUCUCACUGGGACCGCCAGCCUCUAAAUAAUGACCUGGAAACUUAUUAUUAAUUAUGGAAGCUUGGCCUUAGCCUAGACUUGUCUCAACUGACUCUUAUAACUUAAAUUAACCCAUUUUUUUUUAAAAAGAUUUAUUUAGUAUACAAUGUUCUGCCUGCAUGUAUGUCUGCAGGCCAGAAGAGGGCGCCAGAUCUCAUUAUAGAUGGUUGUGAGCCACCAUGUGGUUGCUGGGAAUUGAACUCAGGACCUCUGGAAGAGCAGCCAGUGCUCUUAACCUCUGAGCCAUCU